This 77-nucleotide transfer RNA is filed under the name Salmonella enterica subsp. enterica serovar Bareilly. RNAcentral's name for it is "tRNA-Met". It matches the Rfam family "tRNA". Rfam says of the family: Transfer RNA (tRNA) molecules are approximately 80 nucleotides in length. The record is from RNAcentral. Lineage: Bacteria; Pseudomonadati; Pseudomonadota; Gammaproteobacteria; Enterobacterales; Enterobacteriaceae.
GGUUCCUUAGCUCAAUUGGUUAGAGCAAUCAACUCAUAAUUGAAAGGUUCUCGGAUCAUGCCCGAGAGGAGCCACCA